UACGAAGGGUGCAAGCGUUACUCGGAAUUACUGGGCGUAAAGCGUGCGUAGGCGGUUCGUUAAGUCUGUCGUGAAAGCCCUGGGCUCAACCUGGGAAUUGCGAUGGAUACUGGCGAGCUAGAGUACGGUAGAGGAUGGUGGAAUUCCCGGUGUAGCGGUGAAAUGCGUAGAGAUCGGGAGGAACACCCGUGGCGAAGGCGGCGAGCUGGUCCAUUACUGACGCUGAGGCGCGACAGCGUGGGGAGCAAACAGG
Molecule: ribosomal RNA, 253 nt
Filed under: uncultured bacterium
Lineage: Bacteria
Description: partial 16S ribosomal RNA
Rfam family: Bacterial small subunit ribosomal RNA
Source: RNAcentral